This 737-nucleotide ribosomal RNA is filed under the name Melanohalea trabeculata. Its description in RNAcentral is "partial small subunit ribosomal RNA". It matches the Rfam family "Bacterial small subunit ribosomal RNA", at positions 491 to 1094 of the family's 1533-position model. The record is from RNAcentral. Lineage: Eukaryota; Fungi; Ascomycota; Lecanoromycetes; Lecanorales; Parmeliaceae.
UCUUACCCAAUCGGGCCAGCAGUCGCGGUAAUACGUAGAAGACUAGUGUUAUUCAUGUUUUAAUCGGUUUAAAGGGUACCUAGACGGUAAAUCAAGCUUUCCAAGAAAUAAAGUUAAAGGACUAAUUUACUAGAGUUACUUAUGAGGGGGUAUUAAAGUCUGCUGGUGUAGAGAUGAAAUUCUGUCAUACCUCUUUUCAAUAGAAAAAUGAUGGCACAGGUAUAGGCGAAGGCAUCCCCUUAUGUGAUAACUGACGUUGAGGGACGAAGGCUUUGUGUAGCGAACAGGAUUAGAUACCCCAGUAGUCGAAGCAGAAAAUGAUGAAUGUCAUAGAUUAGAGGUAAUUUUAUUCUAUAAAUGAAAGUGUAAGCAUUCCACCUCAUGAGUAAUUUGGCAACAUUGGAACUGAAAUCAUUAGACCGUUUCUGAAACCAGUAGUGAAGUAUGUUGUUUAAUUUGAUAAUCCGCAAAAAACCUUACCACAAUUUGAAUAUUUAUAUUUUUUUUUAUUGUUUUCUUCUUAAUUUUUUUCUGAGAGAUAUUGUACGAUAUACAUGAAAAUGUACAUGAUGAUGAACAUGAAAAUGUACAUCAUCAUGAAAAUGUACAUCAUCAUGAAGAUGAUGAUGAACAAGAAAAAAAGAAAAAAGUUAACACGGAGGCAAUAAGAUAUAUUUACAAGCGUUGCACGGCUGUCUUCAGUUAAUGUCGCGAGACUUUGGUUAGUUCCAUUAAAU